CCUUCUUGGCACUUUUUCUACAAUCAAUUAGGAAGAGAUAAUAAUGGACUCAGUAGCAACAUCGUCUUUCAAUCUCUGCGUUAUCUACGAUUAAAUUCACCAACUGAAGAGAGGAAAUUGUGGCGCUUCGAAAGCCAAUCUACGUCUCAAGUCUAAGUUUCUUCAAAAUCCAUAAGAAGAGCUAGUGCAUCUCAACUCUCCUUUUCCAAUAUCAUGAAUAAGGACGAAAGCAACGUAGAUCUAUCAGUAGUUCUCUUUAUAGAAGAGGAUGAUGCUCCGGCUGUUGUUGCAUCUAGCUGGCUGAGAUUUCGAGACAAAAUGUGUUAUUGGCCAUCUCACAUUAAAUCUGAGUGUAAAAGAGAAAAGCUGGUCCAUUCCUCCGCUGUCCCAGACCCUGAACAAGGUUGGGAGCUUUGCGCAGUGAGGGUCCUUCAGAAAGGAAUCAAGGAUCCGUUGAUUGCUCGGACCAAGGCGAAAUUGGCAGAAACAACCUCAGACAUAGAGAUACAGCACCUGAAAAGACCCAAAAAACCUGUUCAAAAAUUUUCCCCGGAAGAUACAUCUGAUGAAGAAAAUCAGCGAUCAGAUAAGACAGAUAGGAAAAGGCCAAAGAAAUCCGGCGAGAUUUUUCAAGGACUCUACAAUACCUCAAAUCUGCUGUAGAAAGCAAUGGGAGACUACUGGAAAAAUUCUGGAGAAAGUAGAGAAGCUAGAAAUUGGGGCAAGUAGCGAAGCUGCCGUUAAAACUAACUCAGCGGAAAGCAACAUUGAUGAAAUGCUUCCGUGUAAAACAUAUCAAGAUGUAUUGAAAGUGGAAGAGACUAUAAUCAAGUCGACUGAUGCACUGAAUAAAUUGACGAAAAUUCUUCAACUUGUCGGAGGUUCGGAGACCAAGACGCUACUACAUAACAUGGUCCGAAAAAUUGUGGUGGAUGAAGUAGCACAGCUGUACAGUUUCAAAGGGGCUGUUGCAGGGAAGAAAUCGUUUCAAAAUCUAAAAAUGUAUAAAGUUUUAAAAGGAGUUAUUCAGAAACAGAAAGCAGAUGCCACUGACGACUAUCUGAAAGACGUAAUUGGAGAUUGGCUGACACAAGCUAAAUUUCGUGUUAAAAGAAGGCUUGAUCGAGCAGCCAAGAAAGUCAACAAUCCUGGUAAAGGCGUGGUUAUUGUAACUAACCAAGUCACCAAUGACCUUGAAGAACCUGGUGUAACUUUAGAAGAUGUAGGACCAGAUGAAAAUCAAGAGGAAAAUCUAGAGAAACAUAAAGAGAGAGAUGAGUUAGAUGAAAAUAUCUAACCAAUUAUGAUGUCUACCAUCUACUUAAAUAUCCACUACUAUCCAUAGUAAUGUCUGCUGAUACUGUUGUUUUAUCAGAGAGUUGGAUAAUGCUGUUUAGCUCCGUACAUAUUCAUAUGAAUAUUUGUACGUACUUAUGAAUAUUUAUACAGUACAUACCUAAUAUUUAUACGUACGUAAUAUUUAUACGUGUACUCUUAUUCCUUGAGGCUAUUGUUUUUGUGAUUUCUCUUUUGGUAAUUUUUUUACCUUAAUAUUAUUUAGUUUUCUUUUUUUUCUUUUUUUCGGGCGAAUACAUUAGUAAAUUGUAAUCCUGUUUUGCAGCCGCCAAAUUUGACUGAGUUUUCAGCUUCUUCCUUUUUGUAUUUUAUUGAGGAAUUCAAGAGAGCGCGAUGAGUUAGAUGAAAAUAUUUAAACAAUUUCCCAGAUCUAUCAUCUACGAAUAAUAUUCACUGUAGUAUCCAUAAUAAUGUCUUCUGACAUUUGUUGUUUUUUCAAAGAGCGGAAUGGUUUUGUUUAGCUCCUUAUAUAUUUAUAUGAAUUUUCACACGUGCAUACUUGUGCACUUUUAUUCCUUGAGCCUACUGAUUUUUGUGAUUUCUCUUUGGGUAAUUAUUUUACCUUCAUAUUAUUUAGUUUUCUUUUGUCAUUGAGGAAUAAUAAUUUUUAUUUUUCGCGGGCCAAUACAUUAAUAAUUGUAACCCUGUUUAGCAGCCGCUAAUUUUUGACUGAGUUUUCAGCUUCUUCCUUUUUGUACUUUAUUUUGAGUUGCAUUUCACAAUACACAAGAUGUUAUUGUAAAUCCUUUGACUUAAUUUUUCUUAUUUUCCAGUCAAGUUUGUUGACAACAGAAAAUUAGUUUACACCUAGAACCAUAAUUAGACUGAGCUUAGCAAAAAGCAGCCAAUAUCUAAAGAAAAUAAAUAAAUAAAUUAACGUAAAUGUAGUUUCCAGCAUAACUCCUAAUAUUUUAUCUCAUUGAAAAUUAAUUGUAAGGAUGAAA
RNAcentral lists this long non-coding RNA (2300 nucleotides) under Bemisia tabaci. Its description in RNAcentral is "lncRNA ENSSSA1NGG007392". Lineage: Eukaryota; Metazoa; Arthropoda; Insecta; Hemiptera; Aleyrodidae. The record is from RNAcentral.